RNAcentral lists this ribosomal RNA (452 nucleotides) under uncultured Leptolinea sp. Its description in RNAcentral is "bacterial SSU rRNA". It matches the Rfam family "Bacterial small subunit ribosomal RNA", at positions 917 to 1382 of the family's 1533-position model. The record is from RNAcentral. Lineage: Bacteria; Bacillati; Chloroflexota; Anaerolineae; Anaerolineales; Anaerolineaceae.
GGGCCCGCACAAGCAGCGGAGCGUGUGGUUUAAUUCGAUGUUACACGAAGAACCUUGCCAGGGUUUGACAUGCAAGUGGUAGGAAGCCGAAAGGUGACCGACCCUUCGGGGAGCUUGCACAGGUGCUGCAUGGCUGUCGUCAGCUCGUGUCGUGAGAUGUUCGGUUAAGUCCGCUAACGAGCGCAACCCUCGCUGUGUGUUAUAUGUGUCACACGGGACUGCCGGUCUUAAGCCGGAGGAAGGUGGGGAUGAUGUCAAGUCAGCAUGGCCUUUAUAUCCUGGGCUACACACACGCUACAAUGGCCAACACAAUAGGUUGCUAAGCCGCGAGGUGGCGCCAAUCCAUAAAGUUGGUCUCAGUUCAGAUUGUAGGCUGCAACCCGCCUGCAUGAAGAUGGAGUUGCUAGUAACCGCAGGUCAGCUAUACUGCGGUGAAUACGUUCCCGGGGCUU